GCAUGUGGUUUAAUUUCGAUGAUACGCGAGGAACUUACCUGGGCUCGAACGUAAGAUGACUGUAGGUGAAAGCUUACAUCUCUUCGGAGCAUUUUUACGAGGUGCUGCAUGGUUGUCGUCAGCUCGUGCCGUGAGGUGUCGGGUUAAGUCCCAUAACGAGCGCAACCCUACCUUUAGUUGCCAUCAGGUAAUGCUGGGGACUCUAAAGGAACUGCCUACGCAAGUAGUGAGGAAGCGGGGAUGACGUCAAAUCAGCACGGCCCUUACGUCCAGGGCUACACACGUGCUACAAUGGCCGAUACAGAGGGCAGCUACCUGGUGACAGGAUGCAAAUCUCCAAAGUCGGUCUCAGUUCGGAUCGGAGUCUGCAACCCGACUCCGUGAAGUUGGAUUCGCUAGUAAUCGCGCAUCAGCCAUGGCGCGGUGAAUACGUUCCCGGGCCUU
RNAcentral lists this ribosomal RNA (444 nucleotides) under uncultured Sphingobacteriales bacterium. Its description in RNAcentral is "bacterial SSU rRNA". It matches the Rfam family "Bacterial small subunit ribosomal RNA", at positions 937 to 1382 of the family's 1533-position model. The record is from RNAcentral. Lineage: Bacteria; Pseudomonadati; Bacteroidota; Sphingobacteriia; Sphingobacteriales.